AACUGCUCAAUUACUUAUCCGAAGCAUCUGGGUUACCUUACAAUUUGUGUGCUGUUGUUUUAAAAAUAUUUUGUUUAUUAUUGUAUUAAUUUGUGUGUUUUGUAUUUUUCAUAGUUGCAUUUAGUGUGCCAAAAAAUAUGAAAAUUUGACGUUCGUGACGUCACAUACAAUAUGAAAACUCGAUGUUCGUGACGUCACAUACCAAACAAUGACGUCAUUCAAAAAAUUUACCUAUUUUGAGGAAAAUUUUUCUUAAGCAAAAAAAAAACCAAAACUGACUUUAUCUAAAAAAAAAAAAAAAAAAAAAAAGUAGGGGUGUGAAAAGGUAGGGGUGUGAUAAAGGGUAUGCGAUAAAGGGUAGGGGUGUAAUAAAGGGUAUGCGAUAAAGGGUGCGCAUCAAAGGUGCGCGAUAUGGAUUAAAAAGCAGGC
Molecule: long non-coding RNA, 429 nt
Filed under: Mytilus galloprovincialis (Mediterranean mussel)
Lineage: Eukaryota; Metazoa; Mollusca; Bivalvia; Mytilida; Mytilidae
Source: RNAcentral